Molecule: long non-coding RNA, 280 nt
Filed under: Gorilla gorilla gorilla (western lowland gorilla)
Lineage: Eukaryota; Metazoa; Chordata; Mammalia; Primates; Hominidae
Description: lncRNA (ENSGGOG00000044297.1)
Source: RNAcentral
GUCACUUUGAGACGACUAUUCCUAAAAGCCAAAUUUAACAACACAUCCAGCCUCAGACUCAGGUCCCUGGACUUUGGGACUCAUUCUGCUCAACUUGAUCCCCACUCUGCCCAUUGAUCACAUACACACGUUUACACCUGGCAGAAGAGGAAGAGGAGGCAUGAAGGAAUGGCCUCUUCAGAAUGGAGAAAAGGUAGGAAUCAUCUGGGAUUUUUACCAGAGAGAACCCCUUAGGCUGACUCAGGAGUUGAACUGAAUGUGAAAGAGACCAAGUAGGAAA